AGGAAGGAAGGAAGGAAGGAAGGAAGGAAGGAAGGAAGGAAGGAAGGAAGGAAGGAAGGAAGGAAGGAAGGAAGGAAGGAAGGAAGGAAGGAAGGAAGGAAGUGGUGGAGGAUGAGGGGUUACAGUCACGCUGAUCAGUGGCAUGCCGGAGGAAACGAGGAAGGAACAGACACGGGUCGCGCCUGCGCCUGGCGCACACAUGCAUCUCGCUGCCAGUUAAGAUGUCACGAAAUGCACACUGGGAAAAAAAAAAUCUGCAGGAUUGACAUCAAGAAAAUAUGGACAUCGGUUGCACACACGAACACCAAAUAAAAUCCUAUUCAUUUGUGUGACCAAUGGCCAGACUUUUUUUUGGGGGGGGGGGGGGGGGGUGUCAAUGCAACACACUUUUUUCAGUGCGGGUUGAAAUCCAUUUUAGAUGGCAUUGAAUUUUGUGCGUCUUCCCUCCUCUGUUUGAGUACUCCUUUUGUGAACCAAAACAUUCUUGCACAACUGAACUAAUUAAAAAAAAAAUUCAUCCACCCAUUCAUAUUUUUAAGGAAUUUUUUGAUGCAAUAAAAUGCCUUAAUCUAAGUGUGGUACACGGCCACUCUUUUAGGGCAAGCAAAAGAAUCACAGAAAAAUAAAAUCAUAUCCUGUAACCUAUAAGACUUGUUUUGUGCAUAAAGAGUACGUUUUUACAGUAAAUUGGAGGCACGCACAGGGCAUGAGCUGAGAUUGAAGAUUAAUAUACCAAGAAGUGAACUUUAACCAGAGUUGAAAGUGUUUUUCUCUCAUGUAAACAUGAAAAAUGGCUGAUUAGAGCUCCCUCUGCUGGCCGACUGCCUCUCAACAAUGUAUCCUUUUGAGAAAAGAGUCAUCCGAUAAAAAAAAACUGAGAUACCGUUAAAUAAUGGGACCUCACGAAAGUGAGUACGCCGAGAAUUAUAAAAUCAACGUCCCACAAGAAGACGGCUACCAUUGACCAAUCUGGAUUUAAAAAAAAAAAAACAACACAAAAAAGUAAAAUGGGAAGGUGUGGAUUUGUAUUGUUAUAAGACGAAGAGACAAUUAAGACCAGGAUGAUGAGAGGUACGUGAGAAAUUAUUCAUUUUGUAAUGGUGAAUCCUGGUUAAGUGACAUCUUUUUUUUUUGGGGGGGGGGGUUGUUUUUAUUUUAUAU
Hippocampus zosterae (dwarf seahorse) is the source of this 1161-nucleotide long non-coding RNA. RefSeq lists it as uncharacterized. Lineage: Eukaryota; Metazoa; Chordata; Actinopteri; Syngnathiformes; Syngnathidae. The record is from RefSeq and is a predicted model, not a curated record. The transcript is spliced from 2 exons.